RNAcentral lists this small nuclear RNA (200 nucleotides) under Setaria italica (foxtail millet). RNAcentral's name for it is "snRNA U2". It matches the Rfam family "U2 spliceosomal RNA". From Rfam's summary of the family: U2 is a small nuclear RNA (snRNA) component of the spliceosome (involved in pre-mRNA splicing). Complementary binding between U2 snRNA (in an area lying towards the 5' end but 3' to hairpin I) and the branchpoint sequence (BPS) of the intron results the bulging out of an unpaired adenosine, on the BPS, which initiates a nucleophilic attack at the intronic 5' splice site, thus starting the first of two transesterification reactions that mediate splicing. Lineage: Eukaryota; Viridiplantae; Streptophyta; Magnoliopsida; Poales; Poaceae. The record is from Rfam by way of RNAcentral.
AUACCUUUCUCGGCCUUUUGGCUAAGAUCAAGUGUAGUAUCUGUUCUUAUCAGUUUAAUAUCUGAUAUGUGAGGUCUCGUCCUCACAACGGUAUUAAAUUUAUUUUUUUAAAGGGGGAGUGCCUGGCAUGGUAGCUUGCUACUUGGGUUCUCAAGCGUCGCCCUAGCAUUGCACUGUUGCUUGGACUUGGCGCACCCCAA